GUGUUCAUUUCAGUAGCACAUAUAUCAAAAUUGGAAUGAUAGAGAAGUUUAGCAUGGUCUCUGCACAAGAAUGACAUGCAAAUUUCUGAAGUGUCCCAUAUUUUU
Small nuclear RNA from Cavia aperea (Brazilian guinea pig), 105 nucleotides. NCBI's taxonomy places the organism in Eukaryota, Metazoa, Chordata, Mammalia, Rodentia, Caviidae. The record is from Ensembl.